AGUGAACGCUGGCGGUAGGCCUAACACAUGCAAGUCGAACGGCAGCACAGAGGAGCUUGCUCCUUGGGUGGCGAGUGGCGGACGGGUGAGGAAUACAUCGGAAUCUACUCUGUCGUGGGGGAUAACGUAGGGAAACUUACGCUAAUACCGCAUACGACCUACGGGUGAAAGCAGGGGAUCUUCGGACCUUGCGCGAUUGAAUGAGCCGAUGUCGGAUUAGCUAGUUGGCGGGGUAAAGGCCCACCAAGGCGACGAUCCGUAGCUGGUCUGAGAGGCUGAUCAGCCACACUGGAACUGAGACACGGUCCAGACUCCUACGGGAGGCAGCAGUGGGGAAUAUUGGACAAUGGGCGCAAGCCUGAUCCAGCCAUACCGCGUGGGUGAAGAAGGCCUUCGGGUUGUAAAGCCCUUUUGUUGGGAAAGAAAUCCAUCUGGUUAAUACCCGGGUGGGAUGACGGUACCCAAAGAAUGAGCACCGGCUAACUUCGUGCCAGCCGCCGCAGUAA
RNAcentral lists this ribosomal RNA (506 nucleotides) under uncultured bacterium. Its description in RNAcentral is "partial 16S ribosomal RNA". It matches the Rfam family "Bacterial small subunit ribosomal RNA", at positions 29 to 523 of the family's 1533-position model. The record is from RNAcentral.